RNAcentral lists this long non-coding RNA (12105 nucleotides) under Prunus persica (peach). Its description in RNAcentral is "long non-coding RNA (PPER_LNC005069)". The record is from RNAcentral. Lineage: Eukaryota; Viridiplantae; Streptophyta; Magnoliopsida; Rosales; Rosaceae.
AAAGUUAAGGCACCUAGACAUUUUUAGGCUUUGCUUUAAGAAAAUAUAUGGUUCCAACUUCCUUGAAAACCCAAAGUACAUAAAGAAAACAUGGAGCUGCUUAGAAAAUACAUCCAAAACCUAGGUCCUCUAGUGUUUUCUUUUGUAAGUAGAAAACUAGUCGAAAUUCAGAUCAUAGGGCCACUACCCAAGUACACAGAUCUGAAAAGGUAAGUAGCAAAACUAAUAGAGUAGAAGAUGUAGCCGGAGACCUGUAUGUAUAACAGUUAUCUGCGUUCUAAGAAGGUUAUCUUACUCCAAUUUAUGGAACAGUGGCUCAACCAGAAGCAACAGCCAAUAUUUAAUAAAGGGAUAAUUCAGGAAACAACCACAAUAGUUAUUCACAAUGCAGAAGCAUGACAAACCUCUUCCCCAAACGACCACCGCUCAUGGUCAGUGGUGUCCAUUUCAGAGUGCCAGCCAAAGACAAUGGUGUCCUUUUUUUCUUUUCUUUUUUUGGUUACAGGGAAGGCCGAAGCCAAAGACAAGAAAAGACUAAACAUGCACUGACCUAACAUGGGGGAGGACGGUUUUAACUUUUUCACAGGGCCCUCCCUAACAACUGCAAACUAUUUGGAUUCUCUGUGAAACAUGGUUUAACAUUUUCACAGGGAGAGGGCGGUUUCUUGUCAUCUUUUUUCCGAGACGAUCAAUCAAUCCAUCAAAUCAAACAUGUUAUUCUUAUACAGCUGGUUAUUGAGUUCUCAUACGGUACGUACGGUCUUAUUGAGUUCUGGCUGUUACUCUUAAUACCAUGUUACUCUUAUACAGCUGUAUUUGACAGCUCAUCAUUGUACUUUAAUAUAAAGCUUGUACAAACCAUUCUUUCAGUUAAUGGAUUAAGAGAGAGAGAGAGAGUUGAUCAUUUUUCACACGACUGCGUUUUCUCUUGAGAGCUCCAUUCGAUUCUAUGGCGGUUUACUUGCUCUGUGAAGCAGCUACAGGGUACUCUCUAUUCCUGGCUCACGGGCUCGAUCUGAUCGGGCAGAAUACGGAUGCAGUUUCAGGGCUCCGUUUCAGACCUGAACCGGUUUGCGAAAGUAGUCAAGCUCACAGCUUUUUGCCCAUUUCAGUCGGCCCUUGAUGACUAUAGCCAAUGCGUCGCAGUCUCCGAAGGCUAAAGCUUGCUGUUUUACAUUUUUUUCAUUUAUUUGAUUAUCUUAGUUGUCAGGUUUCAUGAGAGAGAGAGAGAGAGAGAGAGAGAGAGAGAGAGAGAGAGAGAGAGAGAGAGAGAGAAUUUGGGAAUAAUAUAUACCUAGAAACUAUCUGCUGCUUCUAACAUUACUAAUGUGUAGUAUUUUUGCUUGAAAAUUGCUUUAUAAAUUGUACUUGAAGAAACACUAUGUUAGUCCUACUUGAAUAUUCGAACUUUCUUUCCCUGCCCCACGUUUAUCCCCAUAACUUGAUAAAGUACCCCAUUUCGCAUAUUUUUAAUCUCAAAUGGUUUAAUACUCCAUGUAAUCUACGGUAGAACAAGUAUACUUUUGCACUGCAUCUUUAGUUGGUCGGCGUAUUUCAAUGAUUAUUUUUUGCUUGCAAAUUGGUCAAUACAAAUUAAGGGUCUGUAUGGUUGAAUUUCAGGGUGUAUGACUGAUGAGUUGAGGAACUUUUUGGAACUUAAUCUCCCAAAAGUCAAGGAAGGUAAGAGGCCAAAAUUCAGUUUGGGAGUGGCUGAACAUAAGAUUGGUUCUCACAUCUUUCAAGUGACUAAAAUUCCCUGACAAAGUAAUGAGUUUGUUCAUGAGCUGCUUCGUGGAGUGCAGCUGCAUUUUGAUAGGGUUUAUCAUUAUAAAUGUCUACUAGUUUUUGUUUUGGGUUUCUUGUUUUGUGGGUUUAAAAUAUAAUGACAUUAUCCUUUCUUUUGCUUUUUCUUUCUCUUUUUCAGACUGUGGACUUGGACAAAGCCCGACUUGGUCUCGGCAGCAGUUACAGCAUGGGGCAAGGUCAAGUUUAAUCCUGACCGAGUUGGCAAUACGGUGAUUCAAGCAAUCUCCAUUCUAGAUAACCUUGAUAAGGUUAUAAAUUCCUUCUCCAUGAGAUUCAGGUAUGACACUGGCAUUGACACAGAUAUCUUAUAUAUAUAUAUAUAACAGUAAACCAGCUGCAUCUUCUGGAAGAGCUUGUUGAUUGUGAUGAGUUUUUUUAAAAUUUGCUCCUCAGAGAAUGGUACUCUUGGCAUUUUCCUGAACUGGGAAAAAGUGUCACUGACAAUUAUCUCUAUGCUAAAGUGGCAAAAAGUAUUGAAGACAAGUCAAGAUUGUCCGAAGACAGACUUCCAGAUUUAACUGAUAUUGUUGGGCAUGAAGAUAAGGCAAAGGAGAUUAUUGAAGCUGCCAAAGCAUCCAUGGGUAAGAUUCCGUAAUGUAUUGCCUGUCAUUCAUUCAUUUCUUUAUUAUAUAUUCGUUAUUCUUAUUGUUACUUUCUGGGUUCUUUUUAUUUUUCACAGGGCAGGAUUUUUCUCUAGCUGACUUUGAUAUUGUUCAGCAAUUUGCAGAGAGGUUGGCGGGUCUAUCUGAGUACAGGAAAGGCAUUUAUGAUUUCCCAGGUAUUAAAAUGAAUGAUAUUGCACCCAAUUUGGCCUCCUUAAUUGGUGUAGUAGUUGGAGCUCGAUUGAUAUCUCAUGCCUGUAGUCUCACGAAUUUGGCUCUCUUCUACCCUUCAGAUCCCUGGCGCAGAGAAAGCUCUCUUCAGGUGCGCUUUUACUUUACCUUAGCUUUCCUUCCAUUGUGUGUCGUAUAUACCACAUGAAAGUUUGUUGAUCAGUUUGACAAUUUUUAUUUGUAUUUUUUUGAGAUAAUCAGUAUGACAAAAUUAAGAGAACUAAAAGAAAGAAAAAAUAUACUCAUUUGUUCUUAUCAAUCAAUUUGCAGGGCAUUAAAAACCAGGGGAAACACACCCAAAUAUAGACUGAUAUUCCAUUCAUCUUUUAUUGGUCGAGCAUCUGCGCGGAACAAGGGACGAAUGGCUCGUUAUCUUGCAAACAAGUGUUCUAUUGCAAAAUAUUGGCUUCUCUAUAUAAACUCCCCAACCCACCACCUUCACUCUCACCCCUCAUCCCACCCUUAUCAUUAAUUCGAUUUCAUCAUGAAUUAUACUACAUUAUUCGAAGCUCUUGGAGUCCAACGUGAUUCCAACAUUCUACUCCAGUAUAUUCCUACCCGCUGUCCUGUUAAAAUGCAUAGUAUUGACCAUGCCGGAGACCGUGUUCAUCAAGAUCUCCGACAACUCACGAUUGUAGUCUCCUAAACAAUCCUCUAUAAUAUACUGGAGUAGAAUGUUGGAAUCACGUUGGAUUUCAAGAGCUUCGAAUAAUAUAGUAUAAUUCAUGAUGGAAUGAAUUUAAUGAUAAGAGUGGGAUGAGGGGUGAGAGUGAAGGUGGUGGGUUGGGGGGUUUAUAUAGAGAAACCAAAACCUUGGGUUGUAAUAAAGCUAGCAAAGUACAUGAAGCAUUAUGAGUCGGCUGUUUCUCAUAUCAAACUGAUAAAAAGCAUCACCAACAAGAAUGGAAAUUGAUUUCUUGGUUUUGAUACUUACAUUUUUUAUUUUUUUAUUUCCUAAAAAGUAUAGUUUUUACAAAAAGAUCCCACUUCUAAUCUACGAGGGUUUGAUUUGGGCUAGCUAUAUAUAGAUGGUGUAACAAUACAAGUGCCAGUAUAACGCAAAAGCUUCGAUCUUGUUCAUGUCAGCCAAAUCCAAUUGGGUUGUUUAAUUGCUUUGGGCCUUGGACAAGCAUGGCACAAGAUAAAUGAGGUUUUUAUUUCUAGACAAAACUUUGUAAUAUUUUUUAGGGAUACUGCUGUUAAACUUAUAUAUAAGAAGGCCACGGUGGAGUAAAUGAGAAACAUGGUGCUUAUUGAAAACAAAAAAAAAAAUGCAAAUCUGAGGCCCUAGUUUUUGUUUCACAAUCUCAAUCAAGUCUUAUGUAAAAUUGUAGUGCAUAAAACAUUUCUCACGUUCACAAUGCCACACUUAGCAGUGUUAUACAAUAUCUCAACUUCUAUGACUUUAAGAUCCCUUUUUUUCUUGGUAAAUAUGAUUAUACAACAGUGAAAUUAAAUUACCACUCUUUUUUUACGGGAUUGUGAUGACCUCGUACUCAUGGGCGACUCUGAGAGGUGACUUCUUUGAAACAGGCCUUUCCUCAGACCACAGCUCCAAAUUAACAGUACCAGUUCCCCAGUGGAUUAGGCAUUUGUAAACCUGGCUAACAUCAAACCGAUUCAGUAGCCCCAACCCAAGACAUUUAUCAAUCAGCAUCCAUUCACCUGUUGCAAAAAUCAUAAUGAAAGAAAAGCUUGAUCAAAUAUAACCAUUUUCAAGAGUGAACUAAAUUUUUUGAAAAUUUGAUUUCUUUUUAUGGAUGCAAUGACAAAGAAAAUAGGAGGGAAAUAGAAAGAAAUCUAAGCAAUUUCCUGAACAUUUUCGUGACAUUCAAAGUGAGGUAUAGUUCCACAUUUUGAGCAGGAUAACAAAGUUCCAAUGUCUCAUUGUAAUGAAUGUAAGACAUUGAAAGAUAGAUAGCAUUACCAUUAGGCAAUAAAUUCCCUUCAUAGAACUGCUCCUCAGAUUCAGGCCAAAUUUCAUGCUUUGACCCAUCAAUGGCUGUAAAUGAGACAUAUGAUUCUGUGGGGUGCAAGAGGGUGAACAUUGGAUGUACUCUCAGGCAGACCAGCCUGCAAAGAGAAAACAAAAACAGACAAAAUUAUGCACAAAGGAAAUGAUAUUUACGGAAAGAAAAAAAAAAAAGGCACGCAAAGUGAAAAUCAGAAUUCAAAUCCAUCCAAGGAUUUUCCAUGUCAAAAUUUGAAGUUACAGGAAAAACAAGGAUUUAAACUGCAAGUUAACAGAAAGUCACGAAUGUCUGAGAUUAUUUGAAAUAAAAGUAAGAGAGGGGAGCAACUUGUGAACUCCUCCAUUUAGUCAUAGUAAGAAAUUCACAUUUUGUUUCUAAUUUAGUAGUCAAACAUUUAUACAUUUUGGUUAUAUAUGUUUAAAUAUAUAUAUAUAUAAAAUAUCUAUAUGUGUGUGUGUAUAGAGAGAACAAAAGGGAGAGGAGGGGGAUUUGUUGGAGCAAACCUUGAAAAUCCACCAGAACCAGCACCAACUUUGCGUGCUAUAAUGCUAGAGUCGAUUCGGAAAACCUUGGGAUCAUUCUUUGCAAUAUAUAUCUGUCGCUGGAGAACCAAACCACCCCCAAUAUCACCUUCUAACAAAAGACAUUCCUGCUCUCCAGCAUGCUCAAGAUUCCGCCUGCAUUGACGUUUCAGAUAAUAAUACAAGAACUAUCAUAAUGCCCAUUAAACAUACAUACAUACACACAUACAAAUGUAUCCAUUUACUCCAUUUAUUUUUACUCAACCAGGAAAAAAUGGUCCUUCAUAUUUGAACUACAACAUGGCUAAAAUGUUCACAUACUUUGCAACUAAAAUAGAAAAGUAUUAAUUGAUGGGAACUAUAAAGCAGCUCUACAAAGGGUGGUGGCUCUUUGAGAUACAAUACAUUAACAUGGUCUUAAAAUAAAAUAAAACAUACAACAAAUGUUUAAAGUUUAGAAGGUUUAAGGACAGAACCUCAUAGCUAGAAGAAUAUAUUGAAGACAUAUAGUAAUAGGAUAGCUGAAAAAUAUCACCUGCUUUUCACAUCUAAUCUAUACUAUGAAGUAAUUUGGGGUGUCACUCUGGUGCAAUUUUAGUUUAGCAUAUGUUAAAGUUCUACUCGUUGAAAUUUUAUUAGAUAGUUAAAAAUCUUGACACCAAGGAUUGUAUAAAAGAAUACUUUCUAGUUUGACUACGGGAAUAUUUUUGGGAAACUCAGGAUCGUAAUGACAUCAGAAUUUGGUCUCAUAAGGAAAACCCCAAUAUUUAUUCAGAAACUCACUCUGUAACAUUGUAUUCCUCAGUACAUCCAGCAGAGCGGUACUCAGUACCACUAUACUCUUCAUACCCAUUAACCUCAACCCUACUGUGAAGCCACUGUGUCCCUGCAACAAUAACCGCAUAUAAGUAUCAACUAUAGAGAGAAUCCUGAAGUGAUGUAGGGUUACAACCCUUAUUUUUCAUCAUCUUGAAAAAAACAUCAAUUCGUGCAACAAAAUCAUAAUUUGGAAAGUUUGUACCUAGUUUAUCAUGUUUCUGUCCUUGGAGUUCCUCAACUAAUUAUUCGUAAUGGAAUAGACUCAUGGUUGUGUAAAAUCUCAGUCAUUAUCAAAACUAAAAAUUUUGUGGCAGAGACUGGACUUUAUCCAUCAUUUUAAUGUUUAUCACUUCAUGUCUAUCCUUCGUGCUUAAAAUUUCUUCGUCUUUUCAGGCUGUCUAGGGGUUAACAUUGUAGGGUGGCUUAUUGGCAGAGGUUCAUGCAGGUCAAGUAAAUUGAAAUUUUAUUCCAAAGAAAUUUACAUGAACAAGAGAUUGAGGAGUUUGCUGCACUUCGGUAGUUUUGGAGAAUAUUCGGGUUUCAGCAUGUAGUCCAGAUAGGUGGAAAUGGAAACUGGAUUCUUCAGUGGUUUUAUCUUUGUUAAAGUUUUCUAUUUGAUAAUUAAUCCCUUUCUGUGUUCCAGCCUACUAAAAUUAUUUGGAAGUCUACUGUUCCUCCCAAGAAAACACUUGCAAUUUGGUACAAAGAAGAAAAUCCAAUGUGUCUGCCUCCUCAUUGGUGAAUCUUGUGGGGAAAAAAGAGGCAGAAUCUGGAACUCGCUCUAACAAUGUCCAUAUGCUUUGGGCUAUGGUGGCGGUUGGUUCAGGUAGCAGGGGUUAAUGGAUUAUUCGUCAUUCACUCUUAAACAUUCUUUGUCAAAAGUGUAUGUCUUUCAUCCGUGGAAGAAAGGCUAGAGUUUUGUGUAAUUGUGCAGUGCUAGGUGGUUUGUGGGUAAUAUGGUUGGAAAGAAAAGGAAGAACUUUUCAGAAGUAUAGUGAGGAUGAAGUGUGAUGUCCACACUGAGCACAUCAAUCUUGGGAAAUUCGGAAAACAUUCUUUUUAACAAUUUAAUGAAUUUUAUCCUCUUUUUCAAGAUUUCAAAAUAUAGCUGCUUGAGGUCCCCUCGAGUCAUGAUCGAGCCCUCUCGACCAGUGCUCCAAACCUCUUCAGUGGUUAAAAUUCUAUAAGUCCAAGAAAAUGAGCUAAAAAUCUUUAACAUGUCCAAAAUUUGGCUACUUUUCAAAAUUUCACACCCAUCUUGGACAACGAUACUGAUUCAUCAAUUAAACCAACUUAGCAAGCAGAGAUUGUGUACUACAUAUCCAGACAUACACCAAACGAAGGGGAAGGGUAAAUGGCACAACGGAGGUCAUAGAAACUAUAUACAUUAUAAAUAUAUAAUAAUGAAAGGAAAAUAAUCUUCAAAGUACUACCUGAAGGAAGGUGCAUCAUGGAAAUUAUUCUACCACCAAUCCAGGGAACUACUUUAACAAACCAAUCACCACCUUUCAGUUCAACAGGAGUCCUUGAGAGUUCUACUCCUUUGUGUGCAGAAGUCACUUCUACGUCUGGAAUAGCCUUGGCAUUUUCUACAUUAACAAUUUAAAAGGGGCACUGUCACUAAUAUAUAAGAGAAUUUUUAAGUGAGGAUGUUCGCCAAUAUACUUAUAUGUGAACAUCCUAUUUGUUUUGUCUGCCCAGUUUAGAUGACAAAACAGUUACCGAUUUGACUAAGUUUUCACCAGGAGCGACCUAAAGAAUAGAUUAUUCUGAUUAUUGAAUUACAAUGCAGAGUGGUCUCAGGGAAGAUGUUUGCAUGUAUAUAUACUAUUAUGCACUGGUUGCUGCUUGUGUAUAUAUAAAUAUAUUAGCAUCUUACUUCUCUUUAUAAAUGAAACAUGUGAAAACACUAAAUCCUAUAUAAAAGUGGAAUGCUACAAAAACUCGCUUAGAGACAUGUUAAGUUAAUACCCCAAAAGCACCCCCCACCCACCGAAAAAAAAAAAGAGACCACAAAAGAGGAAAGAAGAGAUAUUGACUAGAACAUCCUGCAAGAAUCAGAGAGAUUCAUUAUCAAAGCCUUUUAUCAACAUAAACAAGAAAUAUUAAUCCUUAAAAUCUCAUAAAUUCAUAAAUACAUGUUGCAAUUUGAAUUUACAGAAAAAUGCAAACUCACCUACAUAAGAUGUAUAAACACAAUGUUUUUUUAAAAAGAAAACAGCCUGGGGUUAUGAAAUCCAGAUGGUUUUAUUGAGGCCUGGUUAAUGCAAUCUAUUUAGAGGGUUUCAGAAAAGGUAACGUUUAUCGAGAAUUACGUAGAAUUUAGCAAUAUUUUAGGUACACACUGAGGAAAAUAUGAGCCAGUAUAUGGCAUAAAAGAAUUAUACCCAAACGAGAUCUGUACUGCUUCUCACUGGUAGAAACCAGCUUCACAACUUCCUGUUCUGAAGGCAUUAAAAUUUGAAGAACCUCUCCAUCUUUGCCCCAUGUAUCAACCUGUUUGAAGGAUUCAGGAUUAAAUAUGGUACUUUAUUAGCAUUGGCUUAGUCUCAGACACUGGAUUGUUAUCCCUAAAGAAAAUAAACCAUACCAUUGCACCUCCACCAAGCAAUAAUUGCACAUGCAGGCGACGUUGUGGCCUCUUCCAAGAUCCUUCAGUUUUUGAAACUUUGACAGUAACAAUAGAAGAUUGAAGUUCAGCAACAUAGUGUGUCAACAAGAAUCCACCUUUCAUGAAUUCAUAUCCAUCACCAUCAUCUUCAUAUAGAACACCUUUAGCUUUCCCUGUGAAUAAAGAGAGUUGAUAAAUCUUGAUAACUUCUAAUUUUAGCCUACAAAAAUUGGAAAAACCUAAUUGUCCUUUUUCUUUUCUUCCCUUGAUGAAACGUUUAUUGAAGAAAAUAAAACUAGAGGAACUGCAAGAAACAUGGACAAGCAUCCAUCAGACACCUAAAACAAGAACCGAAACACCAUAACCCAAUCAAUACACCUAAAACAACAAUCAAUCCACCACCCACUAAGCAAUAUGAUGCAGAAUAUAGGCCCAUCUUCAUAUUAUCAAUGCCUUAGGGCUACUCCCAAUUGAAGUUAUCAUUUUAUUUAUAAAUAAUUGUUCUAAUUAAUAUAAUUGUUAUCCAAAAUCAAAUACACUUUUGUUGAACUAGUUAAGCAAUAGGUUGUCUUAAUAAUUUUUUGUGGGUUCGACCUCGUAAUUUCUUAUCUCUAUUGUAAUAGAUCCGUACACUUCCAAGUAUGAUUUGGUUUAAUUCAAUGUAUUCAAUUACGUUAAUUUAAAAUCUACAUCAAUAAUCACGCAUUUGACCUUAACUUGUGCAUGACCAUCCAAAACUUGAAACUGUUGAUUUUACAACCAAACAAUCCAAUUAUUUGUUAAAGAAAUUGACAGAAUCAUAAUUACCAUGUUCAUCCAAAGCAACAACGAGUGUCAAGUCAUCAAAUAUAUUAGAUUCACCAACAUGCUGAUGAGGAGGACCCACAGGAAUAAUUGUUCCUCCUUGCAAAUAUAAAGCUGGUAAAUCCUGCAAUAACCAGAAAUGAGUGAGAAAAAAAAGAAGAAAAGAAAUGAGUGGAAAGUAUUAACAUGAGCAGAAAAAAUUGAAAACCAAAGCAUAUCAAUAUGUACAGUCAUACAUACAGGAUGUGAAUCAUCAAAAUCAAAACUCAACCAAAUUCCUUUGGGCAAUGUGCACUGCAAACUAUCCAUCCCCUGACCAGGCAAAGUGCUGAACAUGACAAAUAGGAUGUCAGAAUAAAAUGCAAGGAUCAGAUAUAAAUAAACAUUUCAACUGAACCUCCUUUACACCACCCACGAGUUCAAUGAAACUAGAAAGCACUUAACAGAUCUCUAUGCUGCAAUAGGUUCAAAGGGCACAAUUAUAAAUUUGCAUUGUAUUCUUAAUUUCCAAAUGAUGCAAGCAAAGUAUGAGGUGGGAAAAAAAAAAGUCGGAAUACAAGGGUGACAGAAUCACAUACAAUUAAAUUUAGAAAGGAAGUAACAUUACUUUAGCCAUAACAUUGAUAGACUCAGGUCUUCACUUCACUUCUCACAACAGCAAAGAACACUUCGAAAAAGGAACAUAAUAACGUAUAACAUGAGGCAUCUGUUAUUGCAAAAUUGCUUUUCUAUAUAAAAGAAUGGAUUUAUAAGUUAAUAUAAACAGGGAAUGGUCCGCCUUUUUCACGAAAGGUGAUGUCAAAUUCAGUCUUUGUCCACUAAAAGCACAAGGUACAGAUUACAGGAACCACAAAAGACAUAAUCUACAAGGAUUUGGUUCUUUAUCUUGUAGGAAAAGGGUGAACCUGGAAUAGACUAGAAGUGGACCCAACAGAAAAGAAUUCUCCAAUUUCCUUAAGCUGGGGUCUUUGGGAUCUGAACAUGCAUUUGACAUAUGCACUUAGUCACGUAACAAAGCCUUAUCAUGUCCAAAAGAAGUUAGACCAUUCAACAGCUAAAAAACUCACCAGCGAAAAAAGUAGGACUUGCCACUGGAGUACCCGUCUUAUGAGCCAUAUAGAAGAGAGUAUAUAUAUGAGGUAUAAGUCGGUAGCGUCUGUUCAAUGCCAAACGGCAUACUUCUUCACACUAACAUAUAGAAUUGAAAUGAGUUCUGAUUAAUGGCACAAUUAGCAGACCCAAAUCUAAAAAGAACAAUAGCGCACAUCAACAUUAAACAGCAAAUUGCAACGUAUAAAAACCAUAAAAUGCAUAUCCUUUUCUGGAUGAUUGACUUUGGCACGAAAGUUAAGGUAGCCCUCACAAUACCGAAACAAAAUAGCUUCAAAAUUAUAAAGCAAAAGAACUUGAAAUGAAAGACUUGGGUGCACUCAGGUAUUUUUUGGGCAUUGAAGUUGCAAUACCAAAGCACAAUAUCUUUCUGUCCCAACAGAACCAUGCUCUUAUUAACGAUAAUGGGUUGGGGAUGAUAGUCGGUCAAUCAAGCUACCAAGUGCUAACAACAGCCAGAGAUUUCAGUCACACAUUUUCCAAUUUCCACACUUUGCUCUGACCAUUCAAAAGCCAUAUCAUCUUCAACCUUUACUCCUGAACCCCUCAUCCCCAAAUUCCUGUCACUUAGUCCCAAUAUCUUGAGCUUCUCAGCCAAAGGAAGAAACUUUCACGUGUACACAAUCAUAAAAAUCAUUACACUUCUCAUGUGAUGGGUAAAGGAGCUGAAGAAUCAGGAGGCAUAUAAAUGUACCAGAAUUUCAAGGAACACUUAGACAUGUCAAUGACAGCUAAAAGGACCAAAGCUGAUAACAGCUGAUCCACCCCAAAAUGCAGGUCCCUGUCUGUAGGGAAGAAAUCACCCUCUAAUACAAAUCAUGAUUCUUGUUCGAAACCCUUCUUCCAUUUUCAGUCCUGCUGCUCAAAAUUCCUUUUCUUUCCUCUAUUUCUGCAGAUUUUAGAUGUUUUCUUUUUCUUCUUCCGUUUCAGAUAAGAUCUAGAUGGGGAUGGGAAGCGGGGAGGUGGGACACUGCGCCUUCGUUGAGGAGUAACACUUUUUCUAUUUAUAUAUAUUUUUUCAAUUAUAAAUUUUCUAGAUUUCGAAAAUAUUUUUAAAAGGCCAUGUGUCUUUUACAAUUUGUCACCUAUUUAUUUUCCAUGUGGUGCAAAUUUGGUGUCCUUGUCAACACAAAAUGGGUCCCACACUCUACAUAAGCAGAAAAAAGUUGAACCAGGGGUCCAACAAACAGAGGCUUGACAUUGCAAUGGCAUCCAAACUAUAGUUUCACCAUUGCAACGUUAUGAAGUUUGGUGUGCAGAGAGAAAUUUCAGGUUUUUAUUGUAAGUUGUAGGCUCUUCAGAGAUUGUCUCCUUGUGCUUUUGUGCUUGUGGACCUAUAUAGGUAGGAACCAAAGAAGCAUUAGACGUUUUUAGGCUUUGCUAUAAGAAAACAGAUGGUUCCAACUUCCUUGAAAACCCGAAAUACAUGAAGAAACAUGGAGCUGCUUAGAAAAUACAUCCAAAACCUAGGUCCUCUAGUGUCUUCUUUUAUAAGUAGAAAACUAGUAGAACUUCAGAUCAUAAGGGCACUACCCAAGUACACAGAUCUGAAAAAGUAAGUAGCAAAACUAAUAGAGUAGAAGAUUUAUCUGGAGACCUGUAUGUAUAACAGUUAUCUGAGUUCUAAG